This 2239-nucleotide ribosomal RNA is filed under the name Escherichia coli. RNAcentral describes it as "partial 23S ribosomal RNA". It matches the Rfam family "Bacterial large subunit ribosomal RNA", at positions 416 to 2640 of the family's 2925-position model. The record is from RNAcentral. Lineage: Bacteria; Pseudomonadati; Pseudomonadota; Gammaproteobacteria; Enterobacterales; Enterobacteriaceae.
GGCGGGACACGUGGUAUCCUGUCUGAAUAUGGGGGGACCAUCCUCCAAGGCUAAAUACUCCUGACUGACCGAUAGUGAACCAGUACCGUGAGGGAAAGGCGAAAAGAACCCCGGCGAGGGGAGUGAAAAAGAACCUGAAACCGUGUACGUACAAGCAGUGGGAGCACGCUUAGGCGUGUGACUGCGUACCUUUUGUAUAAUGGGUCAGCGACUUAUAUUCUGUAGCAAGGUUAACCGAAUAGGGGAGCCGAAGGGAAACCGAGUCUUAACUGGGCGUUAAGUUGCAGGGUAUAGACCCGAAACCCGGUGAUCUAGCCAUGGGCAGGUUGAAGGUUGGGUAACACUAACUGGAGGACCGAACCGACUAAUGUUGAAAAAUUAGCGGAUGACUUGUGGCUGGGGGUGAAAGGCCAAUCAAACCGGGAGAUAGCUGGUUCUCCCCGAAAGCUAUUUAGGUAGCGCCUCGUGAAUUCAUCUCCGGGGGUAGAGCACUGUUUCGGCAAGGGGGUCAUCCCGACUUACCAACCCGAUGCAAACUGCGAAUACCGGAGAAUGUUAUCACGGGAGACACACGGCGGGUGCUAACGUCCGUCGUGAAGAGGGAAACAACCCAGACCGCCAGCUAAGGUCCCAAAGUCAUGGUUAAGUGGGAAACGAUGUGGGAAGGCCCAGACAGCCAGGAUGUUGGCUUAGAAGCAGCCAUCAUUUAAAGAAAGCGUAAUAGCUCACUGGUCGAGUCGGCCUGCGCGGAAGAUGUAACGGGGCUAAACCAUGCACCGAAGCUGCGGCAGCGACGCUUAUGCGUUGUUGGGUAGGGGAGCGUUCUGUAAGCCUGUGAAGGUGUACUGUGAGGUAUGCUGGAGGUAUCAGAAGUGCGAAUGCUGACAUAAGUAACGAUAAAGCGGGUGAAAAGCCCGCUCGCCGGAAGACCAAGGGUUCCUGUCCAACGUUAAUCGGGGCAGGGUGAGUCGACCCCUAAGGCGAGGCCGAAAGGCGUAGUCGAUGGGAAACAGGUUAAUAUUCCUGUACUUGGUGUUACUGCGAAGGGGGGACGGAGAAGGCUAUGUUGGCCGGGCGACGGUUGUCCCGGUUUAAGCGUGUAGGCUGGUUUUCCAGGCAAAUCCGGAAAAUCAAGGCUGAGGCGUGAUGACGAGGCACUACGGUGCUGAAGCAACAAAUGCCCUGCUUCCAGGAAAAGCCUCUAAGCAUCAGGUAACAUCAAAUCGUACCCCAAACCGACACAGGUGGUCAGGUAGAGAAUACCAAGGCGCUUGAGAGAACUCGGGUGAAGGAACUAGGCAAAAUGGUGCCGUAACUUCGGGAGAAGGCACGCUGAUAUGUAGGUGAAGUCCCUCGCGGAUGGAGCUGAAAUCAGUCGAAGAUACCAGCUGGCUGCAACUGUUUAUUAAAAACACAGCACUGUGCAAACACGAAAGUGGACGUAUACGGUGUGACGCCUGCCCGGUGCCGGAAGGUUAAUUGAUGGGGUUAGCGCAAGCGAAGCUCUUGAUCGAAGCCCCGGUAAACGGCGGCCGUAACUAUAACGGUCCUAAGGUAGCGAAAUUCCUUGUCGGGUAAGUUCCGACCUGCACGAAUGGCGUAAUGAUGGCCAGGCUGUCUCCACCCGAGACUCAGUGAAAUUGAACUCGCUGUGAAGAUGCAGUGUACCCGCGGCAAGACGGAAAGACCCCGUGAACCUUUACUAUAGCUUGACACUGAACAUUGAGCCUUGAUGUGUAGGAUAGGUGGGAGGCUUUGAAGUGUGGACGCCAGUCUGCAUGGAGCCGACCUUGAAAUACCACCCUUUAAUGUUUGAUGUUCUAACGUGGACCCGUAAUCCGGGUUGCGGACAGUGUCUGGUGGGUAGUUUGACUGGGGCGGUCUCCUCCUAAAGAGUAACGGAGGAGCACGAAGGUUGGCUAAUCCUGGUCGGACAUCAGGAGGUUAGUGCAAUGGCAUAAGCCAGCUUGACUGCGAGCGUGACGGCGCGAGCAGGUGCGAAAGCAGGUCAUAGUGAUCCGGUGGUUCUGAAUGGAAGGGCCAUCGCUCAACGGAUAAAAGGUACUCCGGGGAUAACAGGCUGAUACCGCCCAAGAGUUCAUAUCGACGGCGGUGUUUGGCACCUCGAUGUCGGCUCAUCACAUCCUGGGGCUGAAGUAGGUCCCAAGGGUAUGGCUGUUCGCCAUUUAAAGUGGUACGCGAGCUGGGUUUAGAACGUCGUGAGACAGUUCGGUCCCUA